GAAAUGCGAUACUUGGUGUGAAUUGCAGGAUCCCGCGAACCACCGAGUCUUUGAACGCAAGUUGCGCCCGGAGCCUUCUGGCCGAGGGCACGUCUGCCUGGGCGU
RNAcentral lists this ribosomal RNA (105 nucleotides) under Zehneria wallichii. RNAcentral's name for it is "partial 5.8S ribosomal RNA". It matches the Rfam family "5.8S ribosomal RNA", at positions 50 to 152 of the family's 154-position model. Rfam says of the family: 5.8S ribosomal RNA (5.8S rRNA) is a component of the large subunit of the eukaryotic ribosome. It is transcribed by RNA polymerase I as part of the 45S precursor that also contains 18S and 28S rRNA. The record is from RNAcentral. Lineage: Eukaryota; Viridiplantae; Streptophyta; Magnoliopsida; Cucurbitales; Cucurbitaceae.